CAGCAGCCGCGGUAAUACGUAGGGUGCGAGCGUUAAUCGGAAUUACUGGGCGUAAAGCGUGCGCAGGCGGUUUUGUAAGACAGGCGUGAAAUCCCCGGGCUCAACCUGGGAAUGGCGCUUGUGACUGCAAAGCUAGAGUGCGGCAGAGGGGGAUGGAAUUCCGCGUGUAGCAGUGAAAUGCGUAGAUCUCGAGAGGAACACCAAUGGCGAAGGCAGCUUCUUGGUCCAUUCCUGACGUUCAUACACGAAAGCGUGGGGAGCAAACAGGAUUAGAUACCCCUGUAGUCCCUGUCUCUUAUAA
RNAcentral lists this ribosomal RNA (301 nucleotides) under uncultured bacterium. RNAcentral's name for it is "partial 16S ribosomal RNA". It matches the Rfam family "Bacterial small subunit ribosomal RNA", at positions 509 to 809 of the family's 1533-position model. The record is from RNAcentral.